Oncorhynchus tshawytscha (Chinook salmon) is the source of this 1110-nucleotide long non-coding RNA. NCBI's taxonomy places the organism in Eukaryota, Metazoa, Chordata, Actinopteri, Salmoniformes, Salmonidae. The record is from Ensembl.
ACGGAGCGUUUGACUCGAAAUGGCCGCGCACGGGUUUACGUUCAAGGCCCAGUUUAGCUUUGUUCAAUCCGAACAUCUGGACGUCUUUUCCGCGUUGAUAAACGGUGACGUCAUAUAGACUAUACUUGGACUCCAGUCAUCUGACCGUAGGCCCACAAGAAUCUUUGCUUCAAUUGGAGACAGUGUGCGUUUACCAUGUGGUACAUCCUACAUCAAUUCCUGCUCCUCUGUUACCUGGAGUAUAGUGAAAGAUGGGUUUGAUAACCAAUUAGAACUAUCAGGCAAGGUGAAAGCGGAUGGUCCAAACUCAGGAAGUCGACUGAAAGUGGGACAGGACUGCUCUCUACAUAUUCAACCUCUUGAAAUAGAUGAUGGAAGAGUUUACACCUGUGGAGAUGGGGCUACCAGUUCAAGUGUUUCUCUUCAGCUUCUCAACAUUACUCUGGCAACAGACACCAAUACAGCACCAGAGAUGGAUAUCAAGCUCCAAUGUUACCUGAAUAUAUUCUCAGGCCUUGUCCCACAAUGCAACCAUAGUGGAAUAAAGCUGAAUUGGCUGAAUGAGGCCAAUACAGUGCUACAGGGAGAGAGAUUUCAAACCGAACGUUCAUCUGCUUGCUUCUCUACGCUGACCAUCCGAGGUGUCAGGAAGACAGACCAUCACAGGAAGUGGCGGUGUCAACUGAUUGAAGGAGAGGUUGUGAAGACGUCCCUCAGCUAUACCACAGAAAUUACAGGAGGUAUAGAGGAAGUGUUUGUCGCAGUGGGUGAGUCAGUAUCACUUCCCUGUGCCACCCACUCCUCCCUCGAGGUGGGCAGCAGAUUCCAGUGGACUCUGGGUCAAAGGUCACUGUCCAGUCUGUCUCGGUCAGGCGAUGUCUCAGCUGGAACUCAGGGUCACCUUCCUGCAUCUCACAUCAGCCAAGACGGGUCUUUGGUCAUCAGCAAUGUGAAAACACUGCAUUCUGGGCUCUACAACUGCUCGCAACAGAACAGAAUCCUACUACACACUCUGGAUGUAUCUGCAGACCAUGCUACCACAGAUGGAAAUAAUCUCACCCUGACCUGCUCACUCACCUGUGUGGAAGAUUGUGGAGACUUCAAUUUAUC